AGUGAACGUUGGCGGUAGGCCUAACACAUGCAAGUCGAACGGCAGCACAGUAAGAGCUUGCUCUUACGGUUGGCGAGUGGCGGACGGGUGAGGCAUACAUCGGAAUCUACUUUUUCGUGGGGGAUAACGUAGGGAAACUUACGCUAAUACCUCAUACGACCUACGGGUGAAAGCAGGGGAUCUUCGGACCUUGCGCGAUUGAAUUAGCCGAUGUCGGAUUAGCUAGUUGGCGGGGUAAAGGCCCACCAAGGCGACGAUCCGUAGCUGGUCUGAGAGGAUGAUCAGCCACACUGGAACUGAGACACGGUCCAGACUCCUACGGGAGGCAGCAGUGGGGAAUAUUGGACAAUGGGCGCAAGCCUGAUCCAGCCAUACCGCGUGGGUGAAGAAGGCCUUCGGGUUGUAAAGCCCUUUUGUUGGGAAAGAAAAGCAGCAGGUUAAUACCCCGCUGUUCUGACGGUACCCAAAGAAUAAGCACCGGCUAACUUCGUG
RNAcentral lists this ribosomal RNA (492 nucleotides) under uncultured bacterium. RNAcentral's name for it is "partial 16S ribosomal RNA". It matches the Rfam family "Bacterial small subunit ribosomal RNA", at positions 29 to 507 of the family's 1533-position model. The record is from RNAcentral.